This 253-nucleotide ribosomal RNA is filed under the name uncultured bacterium. Its description in RNAcentral is "partial 16S ribosomal RNA". It matches the Rfam family "Bacterial small subunit ribosomal RNA", at positions 524 to 776 of the family's 1533-position model. The record is from RNAcentral.
UACAGAGGUCCCGAGCGUUGUUCGGAUUCACUGGGCGUAAAGGGUGCGCAGGUGGGUUGGCAAGUUUGAUGUGAAAGCCCCGGGCUUAACCCGGGAAUGGCAUUGAAUACUGCUGAUCUGGAGGAUCGGAGGGGGGACUGGAAUUCAUGGUGUAGCAGUGAAAUGCGUAGAGAUCAUGAGGAAGACCAGUGGCGAAGGCGGGUCUCUGGACAGUUCCUGACACUGAGACACGAAGGCCAGGGGAGCAAACGGG